GACUGGAUGCAGAAGUUAGGCAAUGGGGCUGAAAUGGGUGUGUUGGGGGGGCAGAAUGCCCCAAACAUAUUUUUACCCUGAAAUUCUUUGCAAAGGAGUGGGGGGGGGACACCUAAACUGUAUCUGCCUGAUUGAAUUGUUUUCUUGUUCGGAUGCUGUUGGGUCCAAGCAUCGCCUGGUGUAAUGGCAAGGUGCCACGUGCUGUCCUUCACAACGUCCCGCAGGUUAAGCGCCAGUGUGCCCUCUCUUUGAGAGGGAGUGAGGCCAGGAGUAAUUCCCAAGUCACAUGGACGUGUUGCCCCGCGUACUUGCCUCGCGUCUUAUUAAUCUGUUUCUGAGAGUUGAAGAGAGCACCCCUGAUCGGCGCCAGAAGAAUCGCAAGUCAAAAAGUGGGCUUGCAAAAAUCUUCCUCACAAGCCAUGUGGGCCCUUCGACCGAGUCUCCUCUUCUUCUUGGUGUCGCAGGCUGGACGACCCGGCUUCGGCUUUUCCCAGCCGGCAAGACCAGUGUUCAAGUGCGAAUCGGCCGAGAGCUGCAUCGGUCCUGAGGUGCAGAGCAUCAGUGCUUGGUAUUUGUGGUUGUGCGUCUCCCUCGCCCUGGCCAUGCUGCUGUUAUGCACCGUCGCCUGUUGCCUUCACUGCUGGCUGAAAAGACGAAGGCUCUCCUCCUCCUCACCAUCACGCACGCUAGCCGUGUUUGCUCUCAGCGACACACAUCCCGCCUACGAGGGAGAAGCAGCCAAAAUCCAUCCUCACUUCCAGAUUCCAGAGCGGGGCUCUUCCGACGCCGGCUUUGCGGUGGUGGUGGGGAGCGGACCCCCUCCUGCCUACAAGGAGGCCGCGAUGCAAGAAGGGUGCCGGGCCCUCAGGACCACGAGGGGUGCAGUGAUACCCCCGGAUUUACACCUGUAAGGAGCACAGGGGCCACCCCCUGUCUCGUGGCUUGACUUACCUGUCGGGACUGCUGGGAGGCUGAAGGAUGACUCUCAGCCCUUCUGGUUAAAACGGUCAAUAUUGAACUAGUAUUUUAGCUGAUGCAAUGGAGUAAAAAUGUUUGUGAUGAAAAAGGACAUCAGCGUUGCCUUUGCCUCCUAGUUAUUUUUAGCGCCUCUGUCCCAUCCAUGUGCGUUUCCAGCCUACACAGGCUUCCUAGGAGAUGGUGUUUAGAAAAGUCACUGUUCCAGGCUUUGCUUCCACAGAAAGUCUGCAGGGAUGGGGGGUUCCAGGCCAAAGAGGGUGAGCUGCCCCAUGGAAAGAGAACUCCACGAAAUGAUAACUCCUUGGCUCCCACCGUAACAUCUCAGAUAGGAACCCACAGAAGGAAUUCUCUCCCCACCCCACCCCCCGAAACCCUCUCCGGAAGCUGAGGAAAGACAACAUGAGCUUUGGGGAGCCAGAGCAGGAAGGAAACAUUCCUUUCAGGUACACGGUCAAGACAAUUCAAAUGUCAACUUCGUACCGGGUGGCGGUGGUGGUGACUGGUAUGAUUCAAGAGCUUGCAUCCUUGAAAGGAGAGAGGGGAAUUCCUUGCAUGUCAGUCUAAGGCCAGAAUCUAUCCUAAUGGCCAUCCAGAGAUGCUAGCUUUCUAGGUCCAUUAGGACCCACGUAUUUAUGGGAUCAGUAUCCAUGGAUUCACUUAUCCACCAUUUGAAAAUAUUAAAUGAAAAAUUGUAAAAAAAUACAUAUUUGUAAAUAUGAAGUUACAAGAACUGGCCACUGGAGAGAGCCAGAAACCAUGAUAUGUACAACUUUCACUAUUAAAAUUCCAUUCACUCUCAUCUGCAUUUUUCAACAUCUGUGGGGUGGGGGUGGGGCUUGGAACCGAUACCCCACAGAUCCAGGGGUCCUACUGUACAUGGAAUUGUGUUAGGGUGUGCUUUUCUGCAUUGAUUUUGAGCGGAAGUGCCUGCAG
Molecule: long non-coding RNA, 1911 nt
Filed under: Pogona vitticeps (central bearded dragon)
Lineage: Eukaryota; Metazoa; Chordata; Lepidosauria; Squamata; Agamidae
Description: lncRNA (ENSPVIG00000010005.1)
Source: RNAcentral